UCUAGCGCAGGCAUGUCAAACUCAUAGACGACAGGUGUUUGGGCCGCAUAAAAUGUCGUCUGCGAAGCGCAAAUUUACUAAAUGCAAUGUUUGGACGACUUGCAGCCAGACUUUAAUUACAAGAGAAAGAUGUUUCUUUGCUGGCUAAACAUAGAUGAUAGAUGGGUAAACCUGCCUAUAGAUGUAUUAGCUGAUAUGUUCAAAAUUCAUCCCACAACUGCAUCUAAGAUAUUCAUAAAAGUUUUGGAUGUUAUGUAUGUCAACAUGUCCGAUUUGAUUUUCUGGCCCAAUAAGGAGAGUCUUAUUCAUACUUAUGGCAGGAAGCCUUUUAGAGACCACUGGGACAUUGUUCUUGGCUGCCUUUGGUAUGGGGAACUCUGAGGAACCAGCUAUUAAAGAAGAAACAAAUAACUGUCUAGAUGAUAGUGACUCAGAGAUAACAGAUAGUGUGCUGCUGGAAGUAAUUGAGGUGGUUGGCUACAUUUUGUAUGGAGUAUACAUUCUUGAUGCUGUCGUGGUCCUGAUCAAUAUGCUGUGAUGAAUUUGAAGACAUUUAGAAUGUCCAAAAGAUUAGUCAGCUAAGGAGCCUAAAAUGUUGGCCUGUUUACAAAUGUGAGAUCUUCCUUGACUACACAAGUACCUUACAGAAGAAGGCUACUCACUUGUGUUUGGAUAUGUCAGCUGUUUUGUCCCUGUGGCCCUUUUCAAGCAUGACAGAUACUAUUCUAAGCAGCUUUUUUCACUGGAAAUUAUUCAAUCACAGAAGCUGUGAGGGAUAUCUGAAAUCCAUUGCUUACUAGUCUAGAAAGACUUCCAUCCAUUGAGUGAUAAAAGAUUAAGCGUACACAACUUUUAGUAGUCACCACAUAACACAUUUUGAUGCUCAAGACAAUACUGUUCAUGAAUGGUUUAUUUUUCUUUAUGCUGAGAAUGUCCAAGAAGGAAAAGGUCAAAGGUUAAUUGGACAAACAAGUUAAUAAACUUUGUCUUUGAAUCUGAAAUUGUAGAACUUGUAGAGAAAAAAAAACAACUAAGUAGGACGUAAUCAUCUUCUUUUUUGAAGUAACGUCUGUAUUAUAUAAGAUAAGAUAAGAUAAAUGUACAUUUUUCUUUUUUUUUUUUUUUUUGGAAUAACAACUGAUAUUUAGUUUUAUCCCUUUGUAUUUUUCUACAGUAGAUGCACUGUCAUACUAAAUAGAAAUUUUAAAAAAUUAUAAUAACUUCUAAUCAAAUUGUCUCCCUUUUAAAAUCAAAUAUCUAAAUGAAUCAUGCUACUUUGAUUCUACACUAUCUACAGAACUACCAAUGUACAUUAGUUUUGAACAAAAAGUUGCUAACUUUAAAUAAUUGAUUAACACAUUUUGAUAUUUAUGUAUACCUUGUAAUAAAAGUGGUAUUCAUUUUACAAUUUCAUUUUUUUUUAUUGUAACUGGUCUGUGUUAAUUUCUUUUUUUUUUCAAAUUACUUUGUAUUGCCUAUAUGGGGAAAUGGUAUUUCUGGUGUUUCUUUGCUCAGCAAAAACAAAUCAGGAUUUGAACUCAAGCCCCCUUGACAGUGGUUUAUGCCAGAUAUCCAGCAUUUCAUGCAGUUUGUAUGCCAAAUUUGAUACAGUGCCCCAAAGAGGAAACCUUGCCUCAUUAAUGUUUGCUGCUCCAGACUUGCUUCUCUCUAUCUCAACUGAUCUAGGAAGCACUACAGCUUUGUUUCAGUCCACUGCAUUGGCUAGAGAGGAUUUCAGUCUCUCAGGCUGCAACUUAAAUGAAGUCUGAUGUGAUUUUAUUUAUAAAAAGUUGUAUGGAUGUCUUUAAGCUACAUAACUUAUCCUAGUCCAAUGUGUUGAUUGACAUAGUUACCAGGUACUGGUACUAAAAAAAUUGCCGCUUUUAUCCUCCCCUUCCAGCAACCCUUAGAUCUAGUUUUUCUAAAUUUCUAGUAGUUUAAUAGUGCUUUUCCAUAUGUCAUUAAAAAGUUAUGUUAAAAGUUAA
Long non-coding RNA from Biomphalaria glabrata, 1985 nucleotides. RefSeq lists it as uncharacterized. NCBI's taxonomy places the organism in Eukaryota, Metazoa, Mollusca, Gastropoda, Planorbidae. The record is from RefSeq and is a predicted model, not a curated record. The transcript is spliced from 6 exons.